This is a non-coding RNA of Cyanistes caeruleus (blue tit), 2295 nucleotides long. The record is from RefSeq and is a predicted model, not a curated record. NCBI's taxonomy places the organism in Eukaryota, Metazoa, Chordata, Aves, Passeriformes, Paridae.
UUGUAUUAACAGAAAGAGAAAAGGGGAGAUAAUAAAAGCUAAAAGCCCAUUUUUGAAGACUCAGGAUAUGUAGCCAUUGAAUCUGUUUUUAAAGAAGAUAUUCAGUAUUGUCUUUCCUAAUAUGAAUGAAAAUUUUGGAUGGUAUCUUCAUGGCACAUUACAGUUCCAGAAAAUAUAUAUCAUUCUGUGAAACCUGGGGUACAGGCAGUAAGUACAGCUUGGACAGGAGUCCUGAAAUAUCAGCUGCAGAAGAGGAGUGUUGUGCACAACAUUUAUUUUCCUGGAAAAUUACUGUCAGAGAAUUCCAUUCCUGAAGUCAAAAGUUCUACUGGAGAAAUUGUGCUUGGAGAAGGAAAUCAUAGUCACUGUCUGGUUACUUGGAAUAGAAGAGAUUUGGAAGAGAUUGGAAGAGAUCUGGAAGAAGGUCAUGCAGAUAUACUUUUAAUUACAAGCAUAUUUUUUGAUUAUCAAGCUUUUUUGCAGUCUAUGCACUUUAUCUGAAAUAUAUAGCAUGAUUUCCAACCCAUUUUACUUUACAUGUCAUUUAUGUUUUCAUUACAGUGGAUGUACGCGUACAUGCCAUACAGAGCAUAAACAUAGUCUGUUGUCCUUAUACAUUGUCUUUGCAAAUAAUCACAGCAAAAAAAAUCACUAAAUUAUUUCUCUUUGAAAUCCAGAAAUUCUUUCAAAAACACAUGAUCACAUUCACCUACCAACAAGAAAAUCUUUUACAGAAUCUACAUGGCAGCUGAUUUAAAGAAAAACAGAACAACUGAAAGUUUGUGUAUGCAUAUCAAGAGCCCAAAAGAUAUAUACUCUCCCAUACUUACACACCCACGUAUGCUGAUACAUCUAAAUAGCUUUGUUUUGAAGUUUGAAUCAGAUUUAAAUGGAAAGUUAUUGAAGAGAACUGUGUGGUCUGAAUUUUAAUCCCUGAACCCACUGGCUUCUUUUUUAUUGCAUGUGGUGUGGCCUUGAAUUGCAGAAUGUUUUAAACAUACAUAAUGAGCUCAAUGUCAAACUGUUGAGCCUUUUGUCUUUAACAAUAAGCACUUAGCUCAACUAAAUGAAUAGAAAUUGCUUUAGUGAAUUACAAAAGCCAAGGUUUUACACUGCACUAAUACUGACAUUAAUUAAUGUAGACAUUGUCAUAUUUUAAAAUAUAUGGGAUUAAAAUCAAUGGUUAAAAAGUGCAACAGACAUCAGUAAACAACACAAAUUUUAACAGUCAAAGAUGCUGCAUAAUAGUAUUUCUUCCACAAUGAGUAAUGCUUUUUUUCUGAUUCAUUUGCAUUUAUAUAGGCUACAUUUAGAACAUAUAUGGUACUGGUUGAAUGGCAAGAAUCUGAAAGAAAGAAUGUAAACAGUAUGUGUAAUUUCUCUAAUUUGGAAAGAGAUUAGAUCUCUAAUUCAUAGCAGACACUUUCUCCUUCCAUAUUUUGUGAAGGGCACUUGCAGCAGGAUAACUUUUUUAAUGUUGGAAAAGAAGAGAUCUUAUUUUCUUUCCCCAAAAUCAGGAGGAGUAUUCAGAAAUUUACAGUAAAUGGCAAUUCAUCCUUUAGAAAUUCCUUCAACCUACUAUUAGAGUUGCUGCCAGAGAUCUGAAUGCUUUUGCCUAAAUCUCUGUAAUCCAAUAAGCUUUUGUGUUUAGCAGCUUGUUUUGAAACUUGUAUAGCACCCCAGCCUGUGUCUCUGUAUGUUCCUUUGCAGGCAGGUGAGUGCCCCAGGGCCUGAUUAUUAUUCAAGCCAGGAGGCCUUCACAGCCCCAACCAGAAUGUAAUUUGUAAUUAACUGUCAUUUACUUCUGUCUGCACUGACUUGUUGUUCAAAAGACAGUGUAUUUGAGCUGGUCACUAGCUUCUCUUUGUUGUGGAUAUGAUGUCUUUCAGAUCUAGUUUUAUUCAUAAUGUUUAGAAAACCAAGUACUUGCACUCUUGAAACCAAAGCAGGAAGGGGAUUUUACUGACUUUUCCUAAAUAAAUUAGGUAUAUGCAAUUAUGAAUACUUAGAUAUGUAAAAAGGAGUAUUUGAUGCUCUGGGAUGAGUUUCUGAGCAGAAUAGUUAAAUUCAUGUGAAAUAUAUUUAAUUGAAGUCUGUUAGAGAUGGAGCAUUCCUGAUUUGAACUUAUUGUAGUUGAGAUCUGUAAAAUGAAAGUGCACAUUUAAGUUGUGGGAAUUCUUCUUAACACAUUUUAAACAUCACAACUGUAUUUUCUCACUGAAGCGGGACCAUUAAUGUAUUCUGUGAAUGUACCCAUAUCAUGAAUUUGUAAUUGUCCCCAUGGUAGUCUUUUGU